UACGGGGGGGGCAAGCGUUGUUCGGAAUUACUGGGCGUAAAGCGCACGUAGGCGGACUCUUAAGUCGGUGGUGAAAUCCUGGAGCUCAACUCCAGAACUGCCUUCGAUACUGGGAGUCUCGAGUCCGGGAGAGGUGAGUGGAACUGCGAGUGUAGAGGCGAAAUUCGUAGAUAUUCGCAAGAACACCAGUGGCGAAGGCGGCUCACUGGCCCGGUACUGACGCUGAGGUGCGAAAGCGUGGGGAGCAAACAGG
Molecule: ribosomal RNA, 253 nt
Filed under: uncultured bacterium
Lineage: Bacteria
Description: partial 16S ribosomal RNA
Rfam family: Bacterial small subunit ribosomal RNA
Source: RNAcentral